This 490-nucleotide ribosomal RNA is filed under the name uncultured bacterium. RNAcentral's name for it is "partial 16S ribosomal RNA". It matches the Rfam family "Bacterial small subunit ribosomal RNA", at positions 28 to 507 of the family's 1533-position model. The record is from RNAcentral.
GAUGAACGCUCGCGAUAGGCUUAACACAUGCAAGUCGAGGGGCAGCAUGGUCUUAGCUUGCUAAGACUGAUGGCGACCGGCGCACGGGUGCGUAACGCGUAUGCAACUUGCCUCACAGAGGGGGAUAACCCGUCGAAAGACGGACUAAUACCGCGUACACUUGGGAUAGGGCAUCCUGACCCAAGGAAAUGAAAUUCGCUGUGAGAUAGGCAUGCGUCCCAUUAGCUAGUUGGUGAGGUAACGGCUCACCAAGGCGACGAUGGGUAGGGGAACUGAGAGGUUGAACCCCCACACUGGUACUGAGACACGGACCAGACUCCUACGGGAGGCAGCAGUGAGGAAUAUUGGUCAAUGGGCGAGAGCCUGAACCAGCCAAGUCGCGUGAAGGAUGACUGUCUUAUGGAUGGUAAACUUCUUUUAUACGGGAAUAACAAGAGUCACGUGUGGCUCCCUGCAUGUACCGUAUGAAUAAGCAUCGGCUAACUCCGUG